Triticum aestivum (bread wheat) is the source of this 104-nucleotide non-coding RNA. The record is from Rfam. NCBI's taxonomy places the organism in Eukaryota, Viridiplantae, Streptophyta, Magnoliopsida, Poales, Poaceae.
UAACUACUCCCUCCGUUCCGAAUUACUCGUCGCAGAAAUGGAUGUAUCUAGAACUAGAUACAUCCAUUUCUGCGAUGAGUAAUUCGGAACGGAGGGAGUACAAG